CGGACGGGUGAGUAAUGUCUGGGAAACUGCCUGAUGGAGGGGGAUAACUACUGGAAACGGUAGCUAAUACCGCAUAACGUCGCAAGACCAAAGAGGGGGACCUUCGGGCCUCUUGCCAUCGGAUGUGCCCAGAUGGGAUUAGCUAGUAGGUGGGGUAACGGCUCACCUAGGCGACGAUCCCUAGCUGGUCUGAGAGGAUGACCAGCCACAUGGAACUGAGACACGGUCCAG
Molecule: ribosomal RNA, 231 nt
Filed under: uncultured bacterium
Lineage: Bacteria
Description: partial 16S ribosomal RNA
Rfam family: Bacterial small subunit ribosomal RNA
Source: RNAcentral